GUUAAUGUAGCUUAAAUUUAAAGCAAAGCACUGAAAAUGCUAAGAUGAGUAUUUAUACUCCAUAAACA
Molecule: transfer RNA, 68 nt
Filed under: Sciurus variegatoides (variegated squirrel)
Lineage: Eukaryota; Metazoa; Chordata; Mammalia; Rodentia; Sciuridae
Description: Echinosciurus variegatoides (variegated squirrel) tRNA-Phe
Rfam family: tRNA
About the family: Transfer RNA (tRNA) molecules are approximately 80 nucleotides in length. Their secondary structure includes four short double-helical elements and three loops (D, anti-codon, and T loops).
Source: RNAcentral